Molecule: long non-coding RNA, 2730 nt
Filed under: Mus musculus (house mouse)
Lineage: Eukaryota; Metazoa; Chordata; Mammalia; Rodentia; Muridae
Description: predicted gene 45833
Source: RNAcentral
AUAAGGUUCUAACCAAUUGGAGAUAAUCAGAACAGGGAAAAGCCCUUCUAAGCAUCAUGCUUUAUAAGGAAGAAAAUUCCCAUUCAUUUCCCCCUCCCUUUGUGUUUCUGGAAUGUAGAUGUGUUGAUAGGAGCGGAAGCAUCCAGCAUAGGUCUUGGGGUAGGAACCACGUGUUUGGGGUCGGCAGACAGAAGAGAUGUGCACAAAACGAGGCCCAGCAUCGGCCUGUUGGCUAGGGUUGCUUAAUUCUUGGCUGUUUUUUAGGAAAUAAUCUGCUCCUGUCUAUAAGGCAGUGUUAGUUUAGCCUCUGUUCCAGCAGCAAUGCUGCUGACAAACCCAUACCUUUCUGGCUCAUGCCACGCUCACUGGGGGCUGUCUCUAUCUUCUGAGAGCAGCAGGCUGACUACAUAGAGAUGUGGAUCAAGUGCCUACUUCAAGGCUGAGCCCAUAUGCUGGACUUCAGCACCCUGUCUGGCAAAGCUCCCCAAAGUCCUGGCUGGAAUAUCAAUAGGGGCUCCUCCUGUUCAUCAGCCCGCAACGGCCAAGUCCCAAGAAGGAGCAGGCGGCACCCUUGGCUUUUCGGCCUUCUUGGAAAGGACCCUUCCUCUGGUGGUGCCGGUACAGACAGACAAAGGAAGUCCGCAUUGGAGGGAUGGUGCCUGGGAGGCAGCACCCUGUGCAGUAGGCAGGGAGGGUGCUCAUGAGUGGGGUGGGGCUACAUGUGUCAGAACUGCUGAGAUGCCAGGCAGGAUGUGAUUAACAUCGCACUGGGUGUGACAGCCACCCUGCCUGCCAGCCCCCAAGCCCAUUGUUCGGCAGCCCGGCAGCCCCCUUUCCUUCACCCCACCCUGCUGCAGCAUGCCCAGACUCUGUGUGUCAGGUCCCCUCUGCUCCCUACCCAGCAUUUAUCCAUGGUGCCAGCCCCCUAAAAAUAGCAGCCUGCCUGAAAUGGAGGCCUAAGGCGAACUCCACAAGAGGAGACAGCCUCCCCCUGUGCCCUGGCCCAAGCCAUUCGUGAGCUGUCUACCCUGAAGCUGAGCAGAGGGCCUGCCUUCGCACGCUGUUCUAAACAGAGGGAAAGCCAGCAGCAGGCUUCUGCUUAUAGCCCAGGCGCCUGGCUCUGCUUUUGUCUUUCCAGGGAUACUCUCCUCUUUCCGGGGCCCUCCAUAUCCCAGUGGGCUCAGCCUUGGUGUGAGAGAGGAUGAAGGGAGAUUGGCUGUGAGCAGACAGAGAGAGCUUGUAGUUCUUGCACCUCAUUGCCUCUGUCCCACCACUCGGUCCUGGAACCCUCUCUGACCACAUGUCUCAUAGGCAUCAUUGAAAAUAGCUGAAGACAGUGGCUGGAGAGAUGGCUCAGCGGGUAAGAGCACUGACUGCUCUUCCAAAGGUCCUGAGUUCAAAUGCCAGCAACAACAUGGUGGCUCACAACCACCUGUAAUGAGACCUGACGCCCUCUUCUGGUGCAUCUGAAGACAGCUACAGUGUACUUAUGUAUAAUUAUAAAUAAAUCUUUGGGCCAGAGCUAGCAGGGACUGAGGGAGCCAGGCCGGGCAGAGCAAGCGGGGUUGACUGGCUCACAACUAUCUGUACAGCUACAGUGUACAAAUAUACAUAAAUAAAUAAAUCUUUAAAAGAGAAUGAAGGAGCCGGGCAGUGGUGGUGCAUGCCUUUAAUCCCAGCACACAGGAGGCAGAGGCAGGCGGAUUUCUGAGUUCGAGGCCAGCCUGGUCUACAAAGUGAGUUCCAGGACAGCCAGGGCUAUACAGAGAAACUCUGUCUCAAAAAACAAACAAACAAACAAACAAAAACAAAAAAAGAAAGAAAGAAGGAAGGAAAGGAAGGAAAGGAAGAGAGAGAAAGAAAGAAAGAAAGUAAGAAAGAGAGAGAGAGAGAGAAAGAAAGAAAGAAAGAAAGAAAGAAAGAAAGAAAGAAAGAAAGAAAGGAAGGAAGGAAGAAAGGAAGAAAGAAAGAGAAAGAAAGCUGCAGAGAUGGCUCAGUGGGUAGAGCACUGGCUGCUCUUGUAGAGGACUGGGUUCGAUUCCCAGCAACCACAUGGUGUGGGUCACAACUGUCAGUAACCCUACUCCUAGGGGAAUUCAAUGCCCUUUUCUGGUCUUCACAGUUGUGGCACACACACAAAAUAAUUUAGAUGAAUAAAAAGAUUAGCAAAAGAACCGGACAUGGUGGCGCACUUGAGAGUCAGAGGCAGGCGGACCUCUGUGAAGAAUGCUGGGAACUUGAGUGAGCUGUGGUGGUGUGACAAGGCUCAAGGAGUCAGUUCUGUGGUCUCUGGAAGCAUCUUCUUUGUCACGCUGUCACAUGUCAUUCCUACACUGAGUUGGUAACCCCACUGUAAGGGGAGAAGAAGAAAUGGCCGGGAUGUGUCUCCUGAGAGUCAUUCUAAAACACCGGUGAGCCUGGAGGGUUGGUGUCCCCCGGAACCUGGGAGACGAGGCAGGAGGAGGAUGAGCUUGAGGCUAGUCUGGGUUAUGUGGUGAGCACCAGGGCAGUUCUCAAACACAAACAAUAACCCAAAAAACUAGCCGGGCGUGGUGGCGCACACCUUUAAUCCCAGCACUCGGGGGGCAGAGGUAGGCGGAUUUCUGAGUUCAAGGCCAGCUUGGUCUACAAAGUGAGUUCCAGGAUAGCCAAAUAUAUAUAUAUAUAUUUGGGGUUUUUUUGAGACAGGGUUUCUCUGUGUAGCCCUGGCUGUCCUGGAACUCACUUUGU